This is a long non-coding RNA of Salvelinus namaycush (lake trout), 586 nucleotides long. RefSeq lists it as uncharacterized. The transcript is spliced from 2 exons. The record is from RefSeq and is a predicted model, not a curated record. Lineage: Eukaryota; Metazoa; Chordata; Actinopteri; Salmoniformes; Salmonidae.
UUUGAUUACAGCUCAAGCAUCGACGUUGAAAGCUGUAGAGAACCAGAUCGACCAGCUGCAGAAAGACAAUGGAAACACAAGAUGACAAAAAUGUGAAGGAUGUGUACAGCUCCAGUUGAAGGAGUUUACUACUUCCCAUUCAACUGCCUCAAGGGGAAAACCAAUAGCAUGAAUGUGAUGGAGGAUGGCGCAGCUUUUGGCUAAGAUCACAACUCCAGCGAUGACAUGGCGAGCAACGGGUUCAUCGUGUCCAUGAAGGUCGGAAAUCAGGUCUGGAUGACCCUCAUCAGUCACACUCACAUUCUUGGUGAGGAACUAUUGACCACAUUCAAUGGCUUUCUGCUCUUCCCCAUGUGAGUAGAGAGCCGGUGUGAGAAGGCUAUCCAUUUCACCUUGCAUAUGUGUCUUUACAGCCAAUGCAAGAAAAGUCAUCUUUGCAUUAUACAUGAAUAGCUAACGAAUAAUGUCCGUGCUAUAUUGAAUUUACAUUACAUGUGCAAUAUGUAACAACACAUCUUUAUUUUUGUUCUGAUUGAAGAUAAUGUAAAGAAAGCAUUUAUUUGAUCAAACAAAUAAAAUAUAUUCA